This 2903-nucleotide ribosomal RNA is filed under the name Escherichia coli KTE171. RNAcentral describes it as "bacterial LSU rRNA". It matches the Rfam family "Bacterial large subunit ribosomal RNA". Lineage: Bacteria; Pseudomonadati; Pseudomonadota; Gammaproteobacteria; Enterobacterales; Enterobacteriaceae. The record is from RNAcentral.
UUAAGCGACUAAGCGUACACGGUGGAUGCCCUGGCAGUCAGAGGCGAUGAAGGACGUGCUAAUCUGCGAUAAGCGUCGGUAAGGUGAUAUGAACCGUUAUAACCGGCGAUUUCCGAAUGGGGAAACCCAGUGUGUUUCGACACACUAUCAUUAACUGAAUCCAUAGGUUAAUGAGGCGAACCGGGGGAACUGAAACAUCUAAGUACCCCGAGGAAAAGAAAUCAACCGAGAUUCCCCCAGUAGCGGCGAGCGAACGGGGAGCAGCCCAGAGCCUGAAUCAGUGUGUGUGUUAGUGGAAGCGUCUGGAAAGGCGCGCGAUACAGGGUGACAGCCCCGUACACAAAAAUGCACAUGCUGUGAGCUCGAUGAGUAGGGCGGGACACGUGGUAUCCUGUCUGAAUAUGGGGGGACCAUCCUCCAAGGCUAAAUACUCCUGACUGACCGAUAGUGAACCAGUACCGUGAGGGAAAGGCGAAAAGAACCCCGGCGAGGGGAGUGAAAAAGAACCUGAAACCGUGUACGUACAAGCAGUGGGAGCACGCUUAGGCGUGUGACUGCGUACCUUUUGUAUAAUGGGUCAGCGACUUAUAUUCUGUAGCAAGGUUAACCGAAUAGGGGAGCCGAAGGGAAACCGAGUCUUAACUGGGCGUUAAGUUGCAGGGUAUAGACCCGAAACCCGGUGAUCUAGCCAUGGGCAGGUUGAAGGUUGGGUAACACUAACUGGAGGACCGAACCGACUAAUGUUGAAAAAUUAGCGGAUGACUUGUGGCUGGGGGUGAAAGGCCAAUCAAACCGGGAGAUAGCUGGUUCUCCCCGAAAGCUAUUUAGGUAGCGCCUCGUGAAUUCAUCUCCGGGGGUAGAGCACUGUUUCGGCAAGGGGGUCAUCCCGACUUACCAACCCGAUGCAAACUGCGAAUACCGGAGAAUGUUAUCACGGGAGACACACGGCGGGUGCUAACGUCCGUCGUGAAGAGGGAAACAACCCAGACCGCCAGCUAAGGUCCCAAAGUCAUGGUUAAGUGGGAAACGAUGUGGGAAGGCCCAGACAGCCAGGAUGUUGGCUUAGAAGCAGCCAUCAUUUAAAGAAAGCGUAAUAGCUCACUGGUCGAGUCGGCCUGCGCGGAAGAUGUAACGGGGCUAAACCAUGCACCGAAGCUGCGGCAGCGACACUAUGUGUUGUUGGGUAGGGGAGCGUUCUGUAAGCCUGUGAAGGUGUGCUGUGAGGCAUGCUGGAGGUAUCAGAAGUGCGAAUGCUGACAUAAGUAACGAUAAAGCGGGUGAAAAGCCCGCUCGCCGGAAGACCAAGGGUUCCUGUCCAACGUUAAUCGGGGCAGGGUGAGUCGACCCCUAAGGCGAGGCCGAAAGGCGUAGUCGAUGGGAAACAGGUUAAUAUUCCUGUACUUGGUGUUACUGCGAAGGGGGGACGGAGAAGGCUAUGUUGGCCGGGCGACGGUUGUCCCGGUUUAAGCGUGUAGGCUGGUUUUCCAGGCAAAUCCGGAAAAUCAAGGCUGAGGCGUGAUGACGAGGCACUACGGUGCUGAAGCAACAAAUGCCCUGCUUCCAGGAAAAGCCUCUAAGCAUCAGGUAACAUCAAAUCGUACCCCAAACCGACACAGGUGGUCAGGUAGAGAAUACCAAGGCGCUUGAGAGAACUCGGGUGAAGGAACUAGGCAAAAUGGUGCCGUAACUUCGGGAGAAGGCACGCUGAUAUGUAGGUGAAGCGACUUGCUCGUGGAGCUGAAAUCAGUCGAAGAUACCAGCUGGCUGCAACUGUUUAUUAAAAACACAGCACUGUGCAAACACGAAAGUGGACGUAUACGGUGUGACGCCUGCCCGGUGCCGGAAGGUUAAUUGAUGGGGUUAGCCGCAAGGCGAAGCUCUUGAUCGAAGCCCCGGUAAACGGCGGCCGUAACUAUAACGGUCCUAAGGUAGCGAAAUUCCUUGUCGGGUAAGUUCCGACCUGCACGAAUGGCGUAAUGAUGGCCAGGCUGUCUCCACCCGAGACUCAGUGAAAUUGAACUCGCUGUGAAGAUGCAGUGUACCCGCGGCAAGACGGAAAGACCCCGUGAACCUUUACUAUAGCUUGACACUGAACAUUGAGCCUUGAUGUGUAGGAUAGGUGGGAGGCUUUGAAGUGUGGACGCCAGUCUGCAUGGAGCCGACCUUGAAAUACCACCCUUUAAUGUUUGAUGUUCUAACGUUGACCCGUAAUCCGGGUUGCGGACAGUGUCUGGUGGGUAGUUUGACUGGGGCGGUCUCCUCCUAAAGAGUAACGGAGGAGCACGAAGGUUGGCUAAUCCUGGUCGGACAUCAGGAGGUUAGUGCAAUGGCAUAAGCCAGCUUGACUGCGAGCGUGACGGCGCGAGCAGGUGCGAAAGCAGGUCAUAGUGAUCCGGUGGUUCUGAAUGGAAGGGCCAUCGCUCAACGGAUAAAAGGUACUCCGGGGAUAACAGGCUGAUACCGCCCAAGAGUUCAUAUCGACGGCGGUGUUUGGCACCUCGAUGUCGGCUCAUCACAUCCUGGGGCUGAAGUAGGUCCCAAGGGUAUGGCUGUUCGCCAUUUAAAGUGGUACGCGAGCUGGGUUUAGAACGUCGUGAGACAGUUCGGUCCCUAUCUGCCGUGGGCGCUGGAGAACUGAGGGGGGCUGCUCCUAGUACGAGAGGACCGGAGUGGACGCAUCACUGGUGUUCGGGUUGUCAUGCCAAUGGCACUGCCCGGUAGCUAAAUGCGGAAGAGAUAAGUGCUGAAAGCAUCUAAGCACGAAACUUGCCCCGAGAUGAGUUCUCCCUGACCCUUUAAGGGUCCUGAAGGAACGUUGAAGACGACGACGUUGAUAGGCCGGGUGUGUAAGCGCAGCGAUGCGUUGAGCUAACCGGUACUAAUGAACCGUGAGGCUUAACCUU